Molecule: long non-coding RNA, 1100 nt
Organism: Folsomia candida
Lineage: Eukaryota; Metazoa; Arthropoda; Collembola; Entomobryomorpha; Isotomidae
Exons: 3
Source: RefSeq, a predicted model, not a curated record
UCAUGUUUUUUGCUGCCAUUAAGCAUAAAUUACGUGCAUAUUAUUUGGUGGACGUGAAUACGAGCUGUAUGUAGUGAGUGCACUUUUUGAGCAAAGUCAAUUGCAUAUUAAACACCAAGUUAUAGUGUAUUUAUAUUAAUUCAGUCUCAGUCUCAAACGUGUUCAGAUAAUGUUUAGAAAUUCUGCUCUUUUAAAUGUUGAUAUUUCAACAACACAGUUGAAAAAUGGUUUUUGAUGUCUCGUCACUGUAUUAAUUAUGUCACUGUUAACUUACAAUGAAAGUCUUUCACAUGUAUAAAUCCGAUAUUGGUGAGAGCUAUUUUAUUUUGUUCGCUACAAAAAACUAAGCAGAUUCCACUAUUUUUCCGAACGUGAAAAAUCACCAAAAUAUUCUUAAGCCAAAACCUUAUUUUUUAAUGUGGUAGCUUUUCUAUUUUUGGCAAGAUUUCAAAAAUUUCAAAACAUGCAUUUCAAAAAAUUUUAAUUUUGCCUAGGAUUUCGUGAAGUUAAAAAAGGAGCAAAAAAUCCAAAAGCUCCAAAUUUUCGAAAAUACAUUUUUGAAGAAUUAAGCAGCUAAUUCUAAGAAUAAUAGUUUUUCUAAUUCUUUAUUAAAUCAAAAUUGGAAAUUUUACAGAGUAACUGCGUACAGUAUAAAAUUAAAAUUGGUCCCAUCAAAAUCAGAGUUAUUCACCUGAAAGAUUUACAUUGCCACAAGCUGACGCUGCAAAUGUGGACUGUUGUGGGGACCAAAUCAACUCUCGAGAGGUAAAGGACAGAUAUCAGACACGGAAACAAAUUGCAAACAAUUUACAAAUCCAAUCUCCAGAUAAAUCUGCACUAGUAUGAUAACGGUUGGAGAGAUCAUCAUCCCCACUACACUUUAUAACCGGGCCAGGCGGAGUGACUAAUUGAUCAUUUCAUUCCAUGACCAUUUACCUCCUCUCCAAAGGGCAAACCUCAAUUGCACCACCACAAAAGUGCAUUUCCUACUCGUCUAUAUGCACAAAUUUCGUCUCCAGUCCCGUCAUUCACCGUCAUAUUCACAACCAUUUUAUGACAUGAACAUACUUUUUAAUACACCAAAUCUCAGCAUUACGAUC